Molecule: long non-coding RNA, 4214 nt
Filed under: Medicago truncatula (barrel medic)
Lineage: Eukaryota; Viridiplantae; Streptophyta; Magnoliopsida; Fabales; Fabaceae
Description: long non-coding RNA (MTRU_LNC006103)
Source: RNAcentral
UAGAUCUUUUUAGGCUACAGUUCUAAGAUGAACCUUGUCGUGUCAUUUUUCGGAGAUCAAAGCUAUUUGAUUAGCUCUUGACUCACUAAUUAUUUCACAACUGAACUUUUAAUUUUUAAGAAAAAAGGGGAAAAAAGUUCAAACCACCCCAUAUUGAAAAGAUUUAGGGUUCAGGGGUUAGUUCCAAAAGGGAAGGUAUUAGCACCCUUUAUGUCCGUAGUACUCUACGGGAACCUCUUGAUUUUAUUUAAUUAAUGUGCUAUAACUUGUUUAUUAUUUUUUAAAAGAAGGAAUUAAAGUGGAAAAAUAAAAAUAAAAACUUAAUUAUCUACAUUUUUUAUGAUUUGGAGGGACAAAGUCCUUGCCUACGUACCCGUGAGGGAUCAAAACCUCGUAGUUCGGGGUAGAAAUUGACGUGUUUGAUUGGUUGAGUGUUUUUUAUUAGUUUUGAAAAAGGGUAUAAAAAUGAAAAGCCAAGUGGCAAUUGAAUAUUUGUUUGUGUUUUUUUAAUAUUGAAAAAAGAGAAUUGAAAUAAAGUUAAAUUGAUUGAAGUUUGAUUAAGAAAAGAAAAUAAAAAUGUGAUCACUUGAUUUGGAUCAAGGUUUAUUAUAAAAAAAUAUUUUUGUGAUUUUUGUUAUUUGCAUGUUUUUAUUGUUUUUUGAAUAACUUGACUAAAAUUAAACUAACGGAGCAAUAAAAAUAAAAGCGCGUGGAUUUUUGUAGUGACGUUGGAUCACCACAAAAUCCCUAAUUUAAUUUUUUGGAUAUAUGUAAAGCAGUAAAAAAAAUAAAAGGACACACGCACACACGCUUUUUCUCAUUUAUGAUUUGUACAAUUGACUUAAUUACAUUAUAAAAUCUAUGCAAUAAGAUAAAUGACAAAAUUUAAAUAUGCAUGUGAUAAUAGUAAAUAAUAAACGUGAUGCAAAAUAAAAUAAAAAUGCAUGAUAAAAUGAAAAUGCAUAAAGGAAAUAAAAGACUGGAGAUUCAAAAUGGGUCGUUGAUUUGAUCAACGCCCCUGAUCAGAUCAGGAAGCAAAUGCUGCAGACUGUUGGACUGAAAACAAAAGGUUCAAGGGAUGAGGGUGCAUGGGAAAACAUGCACCCUGGAGCACUGGAUCAAAGGGUUAUACAUAUAACCCCAACGCCUCUCUCUCUUUCUUUCAUUUUCCCUUCAUCCUUUUCCUUUCUUCUUUUCUUUUUCUUACGGUUCCCUUUCUUCUUCUUUUUUUUUAUUUUUUUUUAUUUUUCUAUAUUAAAACAAAACAAACAAAAAAAAAAACAAGAUAUAAAGUCCUAGAUCUAACUACCUUUCGUAAUGGAUUUGUUUGGUAUGGUAUUCUGGACGUGUUGGAUUUUUCACUGUUGCGGUUUCGAAAAAUGGGUUGUAUGGCUGGAUUUGGUUUAUGGUGAAUCGGUUACGAUGUUUGGUGAUUGCUGGUGUUGGGUUUUGGAAAUAUGGUGGUGAUGCGUUUUGAAAAGCUGAUGUUGUUGUUUCCUGGAUUCUUCUCAUGCGGGGGUGGAAUCGAAAAUUGGUUGUUGAUAAUUUUGAUUGCAGGUUAUGGUUGAUUGAAGUUGGAUUUUUUUGAUUGAAAUUAUGUGAUGAUAAUUCGAUGAUGGUGUAUGACGAGGGUUUGAGAAGUUUUGAUGAUUUGUGAUUACUGGUUUUCUUUUACCUUUUCAUGUUGUGGAAAUUAUCCCCCUUUUAAAGAAUCAGAGGUUGAUGAAAUAGAAAACAGAUUAAUGAGUUUUGAAUUGGAAUUAAGUGAAUUGAAUGGCUUGAAUGGAGCAUGAUGGUGUGGUACGCGUUUGGUGUUGAGAAAAGAAAGAAGAAAAAAAUUAUGACUUUGAGCUUGAAGCAUGUAAUUGAGGCGCAUGAAAAAUAUUUUUGGACCCUUGCUGAAAAUUUUCGGACUCAUUGAUAUUAUUGGACAAGAACAGAAAAUAACAAUUAUUAAAUAUAAAAAUAGUAACUAACUUUAAAAUUAAAAUUAAUUAAAGAUGGAAGUUAGAUAAUGAAAUAAAAAAGAAAAUAAAGAGAGAAAAGAGGGCCCGACUCGGAAUAAAAAAUGAGGUAUUUUAAAAUACCUCCCUGCCGAAUUUUUCAUUGAAAAAAUCAGAGAUCGAUCAGAGUUAAGUGACACGUGUCAGUGGGGCCUUAGGUCAAAAAUUGGGGUAUGACAAACCUCUAUUCUGGUUGUUGGAUAUUUAUUUAAAGUCUUUAUUUAGUUAUUUAUCUUUAUGUUAUUUAGCUUUACUGUCGUGCGUAAGAUUUGUCUCCUUUGAAACAUAACCCUGACUUAGACACUUAGCGAGGUGAUAUUACCUAAUAUUGAUGUAUGUUUGUCUAAUCAUAAAGUAAUUAAUUUAUAACUAGGGAAACAAGCUGAAAGAGCGUGAAUGUAACACCCUAAACCCCGAAUGCAAUAAAUCAUGUAAAUAAAUCAAUUAUUCAAAAGAGUUUGGAUGCUACAUCAUUAUUUUCUCAAAACAUUCAUAGUUCGGUUUUCAUAAAACUCGCAGCGGAAAACAAUAUCAAAAAUAUCUCAGCAACAUAUAACAAAUCUCAACAACCAUGUAUCAGGUCUCAUAAUACAUCAUUAACAAUAUCUCAAAUUUCAGACAUAAAUAGACAGCAAGUCUCAUCAAUAAAAUAAAUACAUAGCCAUAAAUGUAAAAGUCCCGACACUCCUAAUCAAAGCCCUAUCUAGACUUCAAGCAAAAGAUAAAGAGGUAGCUCCAAGCUAAUCCUCAAGCACUCACAAGCAAUAGGAACUCAAUCAUGCACGUCGUCUACACCAUUCAUACAAAUGGGUAGGCGGUCAACCAAACAACCACUGAAGGUUAGAUAAUAUUCCACAUAAUAAAAUAUAAUCAAGUAAAUGACAGUCAAGGAUUUCAAGUAUAACACGUAUACAUACUUAUCAUUCCUAGAAUACUAACUACAUGUGAAUAUUAUCAUACUUCUUCAUAGCACACCAAGCCUAUUCAUUUUCAAGGUCAAGUAAAAAAUCUAAUAAAUCAAGUCAUCAAACAAUGAAUCAUCACAUCAACAUUAUUUUCUCAAGUAUACUAGCAUAAUCAAACAACAUAUACAAGUCCACAAUUCCACAUAGUCACAACAUUCACCAAAAAUUAACCAAUGCACGUAAUCACCAAGUCACAUAGUCAAGUAUGUCACAUUUCACAAAUCUCAUGUGCAUGCAAUGUUCUAGACACUUCUACAUGCAUGUGGUACCAAUUUUUGGAUUCGGAGAUAAUUAUUACCGAGUAAUCCACUAACGUAAUCCCCACCAAUUAAGUUCUUCACCAAGUAACGUAAACCCUUACGAAUUUCGUUCUUCGCCAUCUAACGCUAAUCCUUGCAGAAUGCGUUCUUCACCAAAGACUCAACAUGACUAUGAAUGCAUGGACUUUCAAAUAAAGACUUCGACAAUGCACAAAUCACAACUCUAUAUUAUACAAUUUACACCAUCAUAUAAUAUCUUCACCAAAACUCAUCAUUGCAUUAUCAAGCAUUUACAUCUGUACAAUCAACAAGUCAUAAUCAACAAAAGAGUCAUCAUCAUAAUCAUCAUCAACAAGGAAACAACAUCAUUUCACAAAGCACAAUUCACAUAAUAGACGAACAAUUACACGCAUCAUGAUAACCAACAUAUUAUACACUCACUCAUCAUUGAUUCAUUCUUAUUUCAUAAUAUUAUCAUGAAUAUAAAGUCAUUUACAAGUUAUCACAUCAUAAUAUAUCAUUUUACCAAAGUUCGUGAUCGUCUAUUUCCAUCAAAGUUUGUCUCAUUUUACAAAAUCGUUUAUUUUCAAAUAUCUCACAAAGAUAAGGCAUCAUACUCAUACAUAACAACAAAUCAUUCCUAUUUAUCUCCUAACAUCACAUUAGUUCACGUAUAGCAUCAUCAGUUCGCAAAGUCCGUUCAUUUCUAAAAAUUCACAAAGUUCGUCUCCUUUUCUUCAUUUUUCAAAGUCAAUUCAUUUCCAACGUAAAAUUAUGUUAAACAACUCCUAUAAGUUCAAUUACACUUCAAUUAAUUUGGUUUAGGUGUUUGGGACCAAUUGGUAUGCUUAAAAGCUCUUUAAAAAGUGAACAAAAAUGGACUUUUCGUGCAUAGUAGGGUUGGCACGGUCGUGCCACCCUCACCAGAAGACCAGGAACGACCAGUGCCAAGGGGGCCCACGGUCGUGCCAGUUGUGCAAGUAGCG